AGAAUUUCGGUCAGGGAUGAGCUCGCGGCCUAUCAGCUUGUUGGUGAGGUAAUGGCUCACCAAGGCGUCGACGGGUAGCCGGACUGAGAGGGUGACCGGCCACACUGGGACUGAGACACGGUCCAGACUCCUACGGGAGGCAGCAAUGUGGAAUAUUGCACAAUGGGCGCAAGCCUGAUGCAGCAACGCCGCGAGAGGGAUGACGGCCUUCGGUCUGUAAACCUCUUUUAGCAGGAUAGAAGCGAACGUGACGGUACCUGCAGAAAAAGCGCCGGCUAACUACGUGCCAGCAGCCGCGGUAUUACGAAGGGUGCUCGCUAUAUCCGGAAUUGUUGAGCGUAAAGAGCUCGUAGGCGAUCUGUCGCGUCUGCUGUGAAAACGCGAGGCUCAACCUCGGUCCUGUUGAGUGUACGGGCAGACUAGAGUGUGGCAGGGCAGAUUGCAUUUCGUGGUGUAUGGGUGGAAUGCUCAGAUAUCAGGACGAACACCGAUGGUCAAGCAGAUCUCUGGGGCGCAACUGAGGCAGAUGAGCGAAAGUGCGCGCAGCAAACUGGCUUAUAUACCCGGGUAGUCCACCCCGUAAACGUUGUGACCUAGUUGGGUCGUCCAUUCCACGGAUUCCGUGACGCAUCUAACGCAUUAAU
Molecule: ribosomal RNA, 644 nt
Filed under: Microbacterium sp.
Lineage: Bacteria; Bacillati; Actinomycetota; Actinomycetes; Micrococcales; Microbacteriaceae
Description: bacterial SSU rRNA
Rfam family: Bacterial small subunit ribosomal RNA
Source: RNAcentral